GACGAACGCUGGCGGCGUGCUUAACACAUGCAAGUCGAACGGAAAGGCCCUGCUUUUGUGGGGUGCUCGAGUGGCGAACGGGUGAGUAACACGUGAGUAACCUGCCCUUGACUUUGGGAUAACUUCAUGAAACUGGGGCUAAUACCGGAUAGGAGCUCCUGCUGCAUGGUGGGGGUUGGAAAGUUUCGGCGGUUGGGGAUGGACUCGCGGCUUAUCAGCUUGUUGGUGGGGUAGUGGCUUACCAAGGCUUUGACGGGUAGCCGGCCUGAGAGGGUGACCGGCCACAUUGGGACUGCGAUACGGCCCAGACUCCUACGGGAGGCAGCAGUGGGGAAUAUUGCACAAUGGGCGGGAGCCUGAUGCAGCAACGCCGCGUGCGGGAUGACGGCCUUCGGGUUGUAAACCGCUUUCGCCUGUGACGACGCGUGAGUGACGGUAAUGGGUAAAGAAGCACCGGCUAACUACGUG
Molecule: ribosomal RNA, 468 nt
Filed under: uncultured bacterium
Lineage: Bacteria
Description: partial 16S ribosomal RNA
Rfam family: Bacterial small subunit ribosomal RNA
Source: RNAcentral